CACAAGCGAGCCACUUCACUAACCGGUGACACCAAGGCAAAGGAGAUCUGCCUAUAUCUAGCCAAAGCGGCAUCUGUACCAUACUUCAACAUGCUGGAGGGCUGGGUGUACAGGGGGCGCAUCAACAA
Long non-coding RNA from Rhipicephalus microplus (southern cattle tick), 128 nucleotides. The record is from RefSeq and is a predicted model, not a curated record. Lineage: Eukaryota; Metazoa; Arthropoda; Arachnida; Ixodida; Ixodidae.